UCGUCAAGUGUGAUAAUCCUUACUGGUUCUUCCUCUUGGAAGGCAUGAUCUGUGAUUAUACAUCUCUGUGUAAUCAGGGUUUGCAAUACCAUGAUUGUUCCUAUCUGAU
Otolemur garnettii (small-eared galago) is the source of this 109-nucleotide small nucleolar RNA. Its record names the gene U8. It matches the Rfam family "U8 small nucleolar RNA". Rfam says of the family: U8 is a member of the C/D class of snoRNA which contain the C (UGAUGA) and D (CUGA) box motifs. U8 is the RNA component of a small complex (the U8 snoRNP) which is required for accumulation of mature large subunit ribosomal RNAs, 5.8S and 28S rRNAs. U8 RNA has been identified in human, mouse, rat and Xenopus. The record is from Ensembl. NCBI's taxonomy places the organism in Eukaryota, Metazoa, Chordata, Mammalia, Primates, Galagidae.